UGGUUGCCAUUGAUUAAACCAUGCGAACCACUGUGGUUUGUGAAGGAGGUACAUUUGGCUUAUCUUAUAGUUUCUUAUAGUAUCCGUUCGAAAGAGAACUUUUCUUUAUGUGGACAAAAAUAAUAAAGUUCAUGGACAUAGGGUUGAUCCACACACGUGGACGAUGGGAUGAGGAUGUAGGGGAUUUUAGUGACCUUUCUUUUAUUGGGAUAGUGCUACGAACAAGAAGUCCUUGUUGCUUGUCUGUCCAUUUUAACCAUAUUACUUUCUGGACAAUGGUGGUAAUAAAUUAGGGUUGUCGUUUAAAAAGGAAACGAUGGGAAGUAUGCGGUGUGGUUAUAACUUAAAUGACCAUCAUCACUCUUUAAGGUAGUGUCAUAUCAUCUCGUCUUCAUUCAAAAUCCUAAUUCACCACCCUAUACGGUGAGUACCAUAACUCGCACCAUUAUCCAUUAUUCUCCCCUCAUUAAUCAAACCUCCUAAUUAAUUGAAAGAGGGUCAUGGUUGCCAUUGAUUAAACCAUGCGAACCACUGUGGUUUGUGAAGG
RNAcentral lists this long non-coding RNA (547 nucleotides) under Helianthus annuus (common sunflower). The record is from RNAcentral. Lineage: Eukaryota; Viridiplantae; Streptophyta; Magnoliopsida; Asterales; Asteraceae.